Molecule: long non-coding RNA, 1385 nt
Organism: Heterocephalus glaber (naked mole-rat)
Lineage: Eukaryota; Metazoa; Chordata; Mammalia; Rodentia; Bathyergidae
Source: Ensembl
GUUCUGAUGAGGGAUGUUGAUAAUGCAGGAGGCUGGGGGCUGAUAGACUUAAGCUACUUUGAAUAUCAUAUCAUCUUCACUUAGGAGAUGAGGAAAUUCGGGUUCAGAAAGUUUAUGUGACUUACCUCGAGUCAUACAGCCAGUGUUGGGAGCAGAGAGCACGUGGAAAAUUCUUGCCUGCUUUUCAACAUCCACCCAAGAAGUAAUCAUUGGGCAAAACUGACCACCAGGCCUCAUCUCACUGCAAGGGGGCUGAAGAAUGUGAGGAAGCAAAUGAAUACUGAAAGCAAGAUAUACUUUGCCACAGAACUCUUCUAAAUGCAGCUAAACCUUCCCACAGACAGAAGACAAAGCUCCAGCUGGCAGAGAAAGAUGAAUGUGAGAGAAGGAAAAGUUUUAUCUAAGCCUGGAACCCAAGAAGAGAACCUCUGCCUGCCCAAAUCAGAUCAACACAAAUCUAUAUUUUCAAAAAACCUAAAGCAAGGAAAAUGUUAGCUUUAUAAACUCCACUUUGGAAAAGUUUUAGAACAGACCUUAUUAUAGAGUUCCACUAAGGCACCUGGUAUGGUAUUUCAUAUGGAAUUUGAUUCACAGAACUUUUAAUUUCAUCAGUAAAAUGUUAUUAACAACUCCCAUCUUGUAAGGCAUCAAAAGUUUUUAAAACAUGGUGUCCAAUCAAAAUUACAUCUGUCUGUAGGUUCCUUAAGGUUCUCCAAAUCACUAGGAAUACAGAGGCCCCUGUCUGUUCAAAUCAGGAAAAUGUGAGACCCUUUUCAUAAAGGAGAAACUGACAUUAGAGUAAGAAUUGGAGCCCAGACCUGGGAAGUUGUCAACCCUCUCUAUGGCCAAGAGGAAGAAGUGUGUGGGACCUGGUCAGUUACAGAACUUUUUCAGUUCUGAAUCUCACAUCCUUUCUUCAGUAGGCAUCCAUAGAAGGGAAUUGCUUCUGUGAGCGAGAGGCCAGGGUUCAUUCAAGGAGCAAACUCUCUUCCUCUUUUAUCUUGUCCAGGGAUGCCCAAAGGACCUGCCCUCUGCUGAUAUCUACAAAAGAUGAUAUUUUCAAAAUGUCCAAGAGUCUCUGAUCUGUGUGUUCAGCAGGAUAACCAAGCUACUGCCUAUCAGAGCAGGGGGCCUAACACCCCUUCCAUUACUGGUUGGCUCUGAUUAUCUUGAGGCUGCCAUGCUUUGAAGAAGUCAAACCACAUAGAGAAAUCAUCAGUGUUGGCCCCAGUGCCAAAGGUGUGAGUGAGGAGCCUUCAGACAACUCCAGCCCCCAUCCCCUGCCUGGGAGCCCACUCAGCUGGAGCACCAGACAGCAUGUGCAGGCCCUCCCUGCCAUGCCUUUUCUACUCCCACCCUACAGAAUCUGGGAGCACUGGACGUGG